Molecule: long non-coding RNA, 208 nt
Filed under: Hordeum vulgare
Lineage: Eukaryota; Viridiplantae; Streptophyta; Magnoliopsida; Poales; Poaceae
Description: long non-coding RNA (HVUL_LNC010382)
Source: RNAcentral
UGUGAUUGAACUCUCGAUAUAUACAUUGAUGUACUGCGUAUGUACCGGCACGAUCUUGGGAUGGUACAGAAACACGAGAGACUUGGUCGUUUCAGGUCGGGUCGCUACAGGGAAAGGUCCCAAAGAGGACAAAAGAAAAGAUCCCAAAGAGGACAGAUGAGAGAUAAAUAGAAAGAGCCAAAGAGGCCACAAAAAAAAGAUAGAAAAA